ACCUGCAGAGCCACUGUCAGCCAGUGUCCCUGAGUGACCACACGGAGUGGAGCCACCCACCAGCCUGAACUGUCACAAACCACUGAUGUAAUUAGAAUUCUGGAACGCGAGGUCUCUUUGUUACAGCAGCUAGUGUCAGCUUAACCAACCCAGACUUGCACAUCUUGGUAUCCCCAGUGCCUCCAACGGAGCAUGGCUCUGUUAUCGACUCAAUGAUCAAAACGCAACACGUGUACCUGGGAAGCAGAGCUCCCCAGAAUGGCUCCCAGUUCUAGGAAAAACAAAAUAAAAUCUUACUCCUUAAUAUGAGGGGAAAAGGUCAGAAAGAAAUGGAAACACUGGAGUCAGCAAGUAUCUGGCCGAGCCAUCUGGAGGAUACAUACAAUCCAGACAAUAUCAGCAUACGAGGUCGUCAUCUGCUAUUUCUUCCGCCAGCAUUAUCUCCCUUCAUUUAAGAGCAGAACCCUCCCCGUUCCCUCAUCCCUGUGCGUAAACGCAGUAUGUUUAGGUGAGUUGGUCAGAUGACACAGAUUGAGCUGGCCCCCUUGCUCCCUGAAGGACAGGAGUGUCUUCUGAAUGCUGGGACGUCACUCGCCUGGAUGCUUGCCUUAACAAGAUGACAGCCACAGGACCUUCUGGUUGAUGACAGCUGAUGGCGCUCCUGGUUCCAGAGAAUAGAUCUGGCUGUCUAGAGGUGACAGAAAGCCCUAAAAUUCCCAAGUUUCAAGAAGUCCCUCCUUCCCCUAUUAAAAGGUCCACAGUGAUGUGGGAGCAUGCACUGUGACGCCCAAGGGCCCAGCCUGGCGUUGAGAAUCAAGAGCCCGCAGUGGAUACUGAGAAUCUGAUCAGUGUGGGGACACCUCCGUGCCUCACGGGCAUUCAAGAUGCCCACCCCGUAAGCCUCACACUCUCCCCUUUCCUGAAAUAACUACCAUUUCCAGUCAGGUGGCCAAUUCUAGUCACCAUUGACUGACGCUGUGAAUAUAAGCUCUUUUCUAGAAAAUACAUUCUAGGGGCACCUGGGUGGCUCAGUCAGUUAAA
Long non-coding RNA from Acinonyx jubatus (cheetah), 1041 nucleotides. RefSeq lists it as uncharacterized. The transcript is spliced from 2 exons. Lineage: Eukaryota; Metazoa; Chordata; Mammalia; Carnivora; Felidae. The record is from RefSeq and is a predicted model, not a curated record.